This 14717-nucleotide long non-coding RNA is filed under the name Eucalyptus grandis. RNAcentral's name for it is "long non-coding RNA (EGRA_LNC000783)". The record is from RNAcentral. Lineage: Eukaryota; Viridiplantae; Streptophyta; Magnoliopsida; Myrtales; Myrtaceae.
AAGUAGAGGUGUGGCUUGUGUUUUAGCUGCAAGAAAGCGGGCCCUGGUCUACAUACUGGACGAGGAUGAAGAUGAAAUCUCUGAUUCAGAAUGACUGUUCAAGAUUUUGUGGUGGUUAUGCUCGUGUUGCUCCUGUGGGUGGACCUCUACUCUCCGAAGCUGCAGACAUCGGUGUGAGAAGCAAUACAUGUUGGCUUUUGUGACUGAAGUUUUCCGGUUCCGCCCUUCUUGGAAAGUGUUAAUUUAUACCUGCCACGUGCCUUUCCUGCCUGGUGGGCAUUUGUUGAAGAUAAAACUGGAGUAAAAGGUAACUAUUUAUCUAUUUAGAGCCAUGGCUUCUAUCUGGUGGCAAUUGCCUUCAUAGUAUUGCUGCAAACUUUGAGACCCAUUCGAUAGUGCCAAGCUUAUGCUUCAUCUGUAUAUGUUUAUAACCCUCAUAUAUAAGAGAAACAAAUGCUUGGUUUGGAUUUUCUAUACUUUGGGUUGAAUGGUUCACUUGGUGUAAUCGACCAACGAACUUUGCUUUUGAAUGUUAAAGUCUCUCACCUAAAUUUGACUUGCUUCUCUAUGUCAACGUUAAGUGAUGCAUCCAAUUCAAAGCACAAAAUACGUUUGUGUGGAAGGGCUACCCUCCGGGAUCAAUAUAAUCAACAUGACCAGCCACUAAAUAUACAGUUGCAAGGUGGCUUUAAAGAGCAUUUGACUAUAUUGUUGUAUCGGAGAUUCGGAAUCCGCAAAUGAACGGUAGGUUUAGGAUGAUGAGACUAUGUCUACAAUAUCUUCAAUGGACUUGUGUUUUCUUAACCAAGAGUAUCACGUAGCCAUUGAAUUUAAUGAUGUAUAAACUUAUAGGAAUGUUCAAUUUUUUAAGUAGUUCAUGACGUAAAGGAACUUUGGAAUGACCCAGUAAAUUUGAAAGAUCUAGAUACUCAAUCCUCUAUCAUAAGGACAAAAUUCUAGUGCCGACCCAAUAUUAAAUCAAACAGACCCCGAGCUGCUUUGCAUCAAAGCUCGUUAUAGAGAAAUUUAAGUAAACCAUUUCAAAGACCGAGAAAACAAGAAGAGAAGGCCAGGAAAACGGGUACAAGAGAACUUAGGGUGCCUUUGGUUUAGUGGUUUAAGCCUAUUAAGAAAAUGUAAAGAAAUUUAACCUAAAGGAUUUUGGGUAAAUACAAAUUUUUUUAAUAAAUUAUGCUUUGAGAAGUAAUUUUGAAAGAAAUGUCAUUUGGUAAAAAAAUGUAUUUGAAAAUCGGAAAUUUUGAAGAAUGAGUAAGGGUAGUUUUUGAGGAAAAAAAAUGAGUUUUAGCAUUUGACCAAAUGCUGAAAGCUUAAUGCUAAUCCUUAUUAAUAUUGGGCUUUUAGCUUUGUUAAUGCUGGCUUUUUAUUUAAAAGUUACUUUAAAAUAAUUGUUAAAUGAUUGAGCAUUUUCCCAAGGAUUUUGGAGAUUGAAAGCUCUUUGGGAAUGUUAAACCAAACGCAUCUUAAGGGUUGACAAUGCAUGCGUUCUCCGAAAAGGCUGCAUUGCCACUAGAUAGCAGCAGUAGGCAAGACUUGUCACAUGGGUCUCCAUGGAUUUGGUCGCAAUUCUAAUGCAUAAUAAGCGUAGAAUUCAAGUACCCUCUUUGAAUGGUAUGACCUUGCAUUCCUUACAUGUGAUACAUCAGAUAACUUUCCUGAAGAAAGAUGUCGAAAGAACUGAGGUAGAGACACUUUUCAAUGAAAAAAAGUAGUCGCUUAAGAAGGCUUUCAACAAAGCUGUUCUAUAUACAGAUGAAGAAUAUCACCCAAUGAAAUAAUACCACCAUUUAAGAAACAAUUACCAUCAUUUCUAUCAGGAAUAGAAUCAUCUUCCCUAAAGCGAAGAAAGAAGUAUGAACAAGCCCGGACUUCGAUAGUUGGUUGGUCUAACUCCACGAGUCUGACACCUGUCUUCCUGAUGAAGUACCCCCACUGCAGCACCGCCUUUAUCUUGAGCCAGCCAAUAACGCCUCUGCCGGUUCCCCUAACAAAACCAUUAUCGGAUAACGGGGUCUCAGAGAACGGGUCAUUACAUGGUGUGUUCUCAGCAAACCAUGAUUGGAUCUCUUCCAUCACAUGAUCGCCUUCAAGAAGAGCAUUAUCAUAUCCUGCAUUGUCCAUUUGGCUCGAAGAACCGAUCAUUUGGCGAUGUAUGGCAUUCUGUAAGUUGAUACCAAGGGUCUGUGUUGGCAAUCCGGCAGUAGUACUAUCAUGAUAUCCUGGAGGAAUCUGAACAUUCGAGCGGUCUGCAGACAUGGGCUGAUGUGCAGCAGGACGAAAAUUUGGCAAUUGAACCCGCAAUGCCAAAGCCGUUGCACCAUUGAGUCCUGAAGAAAGAACUAAACAUUAAUGCGGUUCAUAAACAUAGGCCGACGUAAGCACAGGACUACGAGCCUAUAAAAAUUCUUGCAAUGAUUCAUCAUGAGCUUUUACUAUUCUGGUAUCACAGAAAGUGCUACUAGUUUUUUUUUCCCUUACCCUGCACAUCUCUUUAAUUUUUCUUGCCCCUGAUCUUUGUAACGCGCUUCACUUGACAAGGCCCUUUUGUAAAAUGACAAAAAUGCAAAUAUAAACAUGUUGCCGUGUGCUCAUUACAUCUAGUCAUAUCUACCUAGUGGUAGCAUUAUCUUGUCAACGUUCACUUAGCAUCACCUAAGUGAAGGGUUCAUGAGUAUCCGCCCUCCCCAUCUCCAAUCCCCCACUCAAAAAAGGCACAUGUUACCACCUAAUUUUUUAGUUGCUUUUCAAUUGCUUGGACGGAACACAUACAUGCAUACAUACGUAUAUAUGUAUUGAAUGAGGCUCAUUUUGCAUCAAUCACAGCUGGACAAACGAACGUCUUUAUAUUAAGUGGAACCCAAAAGGAUAAGUUACACAAUGCUUUAAUAUAUAAAAGCUCAACAAUCAAGUGGAAAUUCCAAUUUUCAUUGAAAUUUCACAGGCCACGUCUUUGUAUGUGCUUAAAGGGAGAGACAGUAUUGUGUUCUAGAGAACGUACCUUCAGCAGUGGAGCUCACAUUUGCCGGAGGAGCUUCCAAACCAAACGGGGCAGGAAAGAUUGGUGGAGCCAAAUAACGUUGAACAGGGUUGCUCCUCAUUGAAUCAGAGAACGUCUCACCAUUGAACUCUCUCACAUCAUUCCAGUUAGCCAAGGCCUUUUUCACAAUUGCAUCUCCAUGUUCCUGGGAAAAACACACCUGGUAUAUUGCUUAAGCUGUACUAAUGGAAGUAUUUAUCUCCAUUAUUGACAGGUAAACAUUCUGGCUUCAAGCAACUAAUUUUUUUUGACAAGUAAAGUUGCAUUCCAAUGGGAUGAACUUGUAUUCAGAUUAAAGUACGUGAGUGCAGCACAGNNNNNNNNNNNNNNNNNNNNNNNNNNNNNNNNNNNNNNNNNNNNNNNNNNNNNNNNNNNNNNNNNNNNNNNNNNNNNNNNNNNNNNNNNNNNNNNNNNNNNNNNNNNNNNNNNNNNNNNNNNNNNNNNNNNNNNNNNNNNNNNNNNNNNNNNNNNNNNNNNNNNNNNNNNNNNNNNNNNNNNNNNNNNNNNNNNNNNNNNNNNNNNNNNNNNNNNNNNNNNNNNNNNNNNNNNNNNNNNNNNNNNNNNNNNNNNNNNNNNNNNNNNNNNNNNNNNNNUGUUGAUGAGUGCCUCAGAUUCUCAUGGAUGAACUGAAUAAAGUGCUGAAAGUGGUCUUUAACUUACUCAAUAUAGAGGGCCACUUAGAUUUACAAGGUCACUAACCUUAACUUUGCUUCACAAAGAGCGCAAGCUCAAAAUCACUCCAUUAAUAGAAAGUCUCUAUUAUGGAUCUAAACAUAGCAUCUAUUUUUUUUUUUUUAUUCUCUCCACGGGAACUUCAUUAUACUUUUGUGAUCGGAAAGAAAAAAACAAAACAAAAGAAAAAGCAAAGCCUCUAGAUGUCAAUUAACUCCUUGUUUCAGGUUUCCAAAUCUCUAGUCAAUUCUAACACCUACUAAGCCACACAGCUACAAGUGAACAUCAAAAUACUGAUUACAUAGAAAAUAUGGGACAACUAAUUCGAAUUCCCCAAGAUGGGGUGUGGCGAGUGAACUGGCUUGACAAAAUUGAGUAGGAACUCCUUGGUUACUUACCUUCUCUUGAGCAGAAAGUCGAUGAGUAGCAAAAUAUUCCGUGUCUUUGACUAGGCCGAUUGGUUGACCAUCAGUGUUGAAUACAGCACCAUGCUUCGUCAGGCCAUCAGGAUAGUCCAAGUAAAGUUUCCACUUUGUUUCGCAAGUCUUUGCAUGGCGUAUCAGGCUAUCCCACUACUUCUCUGUUAUGCUCUUUCCGAGAAUCUAUGAUGAGUGAACACACAGGACUUACAUUCUUGGCAGUCAAUCAAACCCUAAUUGGGAAUCAUUAACUGAGUGCUUACCUCUCUCAAUUUCUCGGGGUCCGUGAACAGUUGCAGUAGAAAGUCUUCCACUUUAUAUAUUCCAGCAUCACUUAGUUUUUGGUGAGAUUUCCCACCUUUGGCAAUGUUCUCCAACCUCCAAACCUCAUCGUCAGAUGCAGGUGGAUGAUGUUUCAUGUAUGCUGUAAAAUGAAGAUUAGAUUAAUUUGUAGAAGCAAACCUCUAGGAGGCUUGCAAUCUCUCCCCUGUAGGAGGCUUGCAAUCUCUCCCCUGAAACUGAUCCAGAGUGUGGACAUUUACCAAUAACAAACAAACCGAUAGCUUCUUAUUUAUCAGAAUUUUUGUUCAAGUUGUAAAGGUCCACACGAAAAUGAAGCUCUAAAUUAAAAAAUUGAAGACUGUGGACGUCCAAAAUCAUGUUUAUGUUCAGUCAAAUAGGAUAAGGUUUAUAUACUGUAGAAAGACUAUGAAGGACCUACCUUCCCCUCUAUGUUCCUUGACUUGGAAGGCGUCUGUUUUUGCUUCUCGGAUUCGUGUGUUCCCACAACUACCCGUUGCCACCUUAAGCCCUAUCCUGAAUCUUUUACUCCUAUUCCAACUGGAAUUGUCAGUAAAUAUCAGUUCUCCGAUCUCCCCAACACCUUCCUUGAGCUUCACUACGAGAUCUCCAGCCAAAAGCGGCCUCUUUCCUUCACGUUGUUUAACCACGUGGCUCUCAAACGCUUCUUGGGUCCAGUUAUCCUCAUCGUCUUUGUUGAAGUCACCUUCGAGCACGACGAUGUCCAACUUAAUGGAGGAUUCCAGGCCUGAUCUAACUACAUCCCCUGUAUUUGCAUUGAUCAAGGCAACGGAAAUGUGUGCACCCCCCACUCCUUCUAGUUUCUGUCCAGUAAAUAGAGAAUCUGACAGUUUGGUUUGAAUUUGAAGCCGUAAGUCUCUCACAUCACUCUCCCGUAGAAUUAGCAUUAGCCCUGCAUUCUCUCCAGAAACCAACCAUCAGAAAUAGGAAUGUGUAUAAAAAACGGAAAAUUGGAAAAAUAACGACAGAGAGACAAAAUACCCAACAUCUCACUUGGACAGGUCUUACUGCCGAGGAAACUACAAGGAUAAAUAGGCCUGUCGUUUUAUUUGUUUAAUAAUUCACAUUUAAAAAAAAAAUGAAGUAAAAUAAAAUAAAAUGUUCCACUGGCAAGCUACAAGGAUUAUGUUCUAAAUUGAGCAUUGACACUUUGGUGCACGACCGAGUCAUUGUGGCAUGACACUCACUGAGAGCUCAGACUGCCUGCUUGGGGUGGUAGUGGUAGGUCGGACCAUUAUUCCCCAAAACAUCAACAAUGCAUAACCUGUCAACACUACACAGAAAGCCUUUCUCAACAGCAUCACGAGGGAAGUGCAUCCAUACCUUGCACGCUGGGGAGAAUGAAUGUUUCCAAAAUCCACUGCUUCCAUCUGUUCAAAACCACCAACAGCAGAAUUGCCAAAGUUGGAGACAUCCAAAAAAUGAAGCAGGAGGGAUACAAAACCAAUCCAUUCCAUCAAAAGGAGUUGGAAAACCUAUGCUGUGGCUCUUUCCUAAAAACAACUUAUCAAACACCUUAUUGAACUAAGUUCUUCAUGCAUAUUGAAUUCACUAUCUUUUACCUAACAGCAGUUGUCUAUAAACUCAUAUGAUCAAUCCUAAGCAUUUUCAUUUUCCCCUUCCAUUCCAUGUCCAUGAAAAAAAUUUCAUGUGCUUUAGAAUGGUUAUGAUUUAGCUUUAGGUGAUAAAGCCACAUUUGAAACUGUUAUUGAGGAGAAUGAAUGGAGAUGGCCUCCAGCAAGGUCUGAUGAUCUGCUUGAAACUCAGAUGGCUUUGUGUGGGUUGAUUGCUCCAAACUCUGGCUCUAUAGACAGUGUGGUAUUUACUGGAUCAUCUAGGGGCUCUUUCUCUAUAAAGGAGAGUUCGAAGCUAGUGAGGACAUGGGGGAACAAAGUGACUUGGCUUAGGCUUGUAUGGUUUAUGCCUAAUAUGACAAAACAUGGGUUUAGAACCUGGCUAGUGAGUCGUAAUAGGUUGCACAGAAGGAUCUCCUAUGUCAAGAUAUAAGGCUUUCCUAUUAUAACAAGUUGUUCAAAAGGAUCUCCUGUUCUUCCCGUCGAGCAGGGAUGCAAGUUGGCCCUAGUAAGCUGACAGUACUGAGUGGAAGGUCCUCACUCAACGGAUAUAAGUUACUCUAUGGAUAACAGGUUGAUCUUCCCCAAGAGUUCACAUUGACAAGAAGGUUUGGCACCUCAAUUUUGUCUGCCCAUGUGGGACAUUAUGCUGUAACAGACUUGUAUGGAAAUUAGGCCUUCCCAUGUUUUUCUUUCCACAGGUUGCACAACAAAAUGAAUAUUUACUUAUAGACAAAGGAGAUCGUGUGAAGUUUGUCUGUCGGAAUGAAGCGAUUAGUAAGUUCAUUCUAUCACUUCAUGACAUGCAGAGAAACAACUCAUACCUUAAGUGUUGAUGAAGAUAUGUCUGUGAAAAAGUAGAAAUCUUAUAAACUUGUUUAUCUUACCAAUCUCUGAAAAUCAUUCUCUGAGCGCAUCUGUGGCACUAUAUCUUUGAGAGCAUUCCAGAUGCAACUACACCAUAAAAAUUGAUACCAUGAACAACUGCUGUCUUGUGGACUUAUUCGUAACAAAAAGACAGAUAACCCUUGACAUUUAAGUUACUUGUACAAAUGAAUGUCAGAUCUAAUUACUGUAUAAACCAUAAAUGCCAGACUCAUCAAAUGCAUUCCUUAAUCUAACUCGACAUAAAAAGUCAACAUAAAACUGGAAUACAAAUUUAUCCAGUACUUUGAUAACAGAAGCAAAUAAUGUUGAUUAGCUGCUAUCUCCAAAUGCACCAUCCUGUCAGUGAUUUAAAGAAAAAGGUAUGCACAGGUAUUACACUUUGCCGAACAGAAAUUUGGAUUUAUGGCAUUAAUACUUUGAUGAGACAAUAGACAUGGAAAUUCUCCUGCAGAAAUCAGUUCAUGCAGAUAUGAUACUGCCAACAAACCAAAUGAAAUAUAAUCACCUUUGAAAAUAUUUGGCCCUGUCAGAUUUAGCACUCUCCAGCUCUUCUCGUAACUGUCCAGCAAAGAAAGCAAAAGCAAAUGAUUACAUAAACAAGAGCCAUCUGUCACGUAAUCAUCACAUUCAAGUUUCACAUCACAGGUAUCUUCAUUUUCCUCCUCCUACGUUCAAAGGGUCAUUGACCACAUUUUCCAGGAUUCAAGGCGACAGUUAUGUCCAGGGCACUUCAUCGAAAAUUUGUAUCUUUUUGUGAACCAUACUGCCCAACACAACAUGAAAAGCCUAAAGCAUGUGUUUAGUGCAAUUGCUUCCCAGGAAAAUCCUAGAACAUUCAGCAGGUCAUUUUUACCACUCAAGCAAUAAUUCUCUAUACAUCUCUUGGCAAUUUCUCACGCGGAUUACUGUCCAGAAACUGGCCGGAAUGUCAGAAAUGCAUCUAACCACUUCUGAUCGAAGAAACAGGAAUUGAAAUAUAAUAAGGGCUGUACUUUGCAUGUCCAACUUGGCUACUUCACUCAUCUUACCAUACUCCGCAGAUCCUCUGUCAAACAGCAAGUCAAACAGCAACUCGGCACAGGAUUCAUUUCGGACCCGUUCCAUGCUUGACUGCAUGAACAUCAGCACAAAAGUACAAGCGAGAUAGGAUAUUUAGACGACAGGAUAGCAAAUUAACCUGGUAACGAUAACAGCUCACUUGCUAGAUAAAUGAUUUUAACAGAAUUCAGCUCAAAUAAGGAGGAAGUACUGCAAUUGGCCAACAUAAAUUCACAAAACAGAUUUGAGACGAUGACAUCCGAGGUCAUUAGUACUUCGCAUUAAAACAACAGCACAAACCCAUAAAUAAAGAACUGAACGAAAGUGAUUUUGAACGGUCAUGAGGCAAAAGCUUAUCGAUGGCGGGCUUUCACCANNNNNNNNNNNNNNNNNNNNNNNNNNNNNNNNNNNNNNNNNNNNNNNNNNNNNNNNNNNNNNNNNNNNNNNNNNNNNNNNNNNNNNNNNNNNNNNNNNNNCCUCAAGUACAGCUAAAACUAACGCAGAUCAUCAAACAACGAAUCCAGCAUGAUACGUCAGAGGGAAGAGCGAGCUUACUUGAUGGAGGCAAGCAUGGCAUCUUGGGUUACUUGGUUGACAUGAAGAAGAAGAGGGAGGCAAAGCUCUCUUUGGCUUCCGCAUGGCUUUUCCCUUCUCCUUUCUGGAGCUCAACGAGAAGCAAGAGAAUGUCUGGUUACUGAAAAAGCGCAGCACAGAGCAGAGAGCAGAGAGCAGAGAGAGAGAGAGAGAGAGAGAGAGAGAGAGAGAGAGAGAGAGAGAGAGAGAGAGAAUCAGCCUGCUGUAGAAAUUAUUGGCUUUAGAAUGGGUGAGCUCAGGGGUCUUUCAAGAUGGCACUCUUGUUACCUGGGUAUUGGUUUGGAUGAGACACUGGUGGACAAUGCAGUAGAAAAGGCUGGAAUGCUGCUUGUACAGGUUGAGCGAUUCGUAAGGGUGCUCUCAUCUGUUGUGCAGCAGGUAGCCUGUUACAAUCUUUGUUAUGAUUUCUCCACGUUUCUUGAUACCUUCUGUUUGCUACUCUUUUCCAAAAUCUUGCCCGUCUCUCAUCGUGCAUAUCUUUAGUCAUGCUAAAUUCCUAAAUUUUAAACAUGGAGUUGAACUACUUGUGGAUAUAAGACACAAGAUCUUGUGUGCUCAGAAUGACAUUAUUCUAGCUGAAUAACAUUUAAUAUUUGAAAGCGUUUUCGUUGAGAAUUUGAGGAAGAUAUUGUUAGCUGGGCAUUUGCACAUGACUUGAACCUGUUUAACAAAGUUUCAUCUCGCACCUUUUAAGAUCAUGAUGAAAUACUGACAAUAUCACAUUGUUAUUUGUUGAUAUAUAUCAUCGUGUAUUUGAAGGACCAAAGAGAAAUUGCAUGACUUUUUUAUCUUUGCUUACGGCACCUUGACAACUUAGGGUUUGUUGAUACCUUUUCAAUUUCGCACAUGCUAUGCUGGAGACAUCCAUUCUUUCUUGUUUUAAAAUGAAAAUAUUGCCAGUGUGACCACUGAAUCUAGACAAGCUCAGAAUAUUGGUAGGAUCCUAAAUUCUUGAGCCAGCGGUGUAAGCAUUUUGUAUUGGUUGAUAAUGUGCAUGUUGCUGAAGCUUUUGGUUUUGGUUUUGGUUUUGUGUCUCUUUCAGUUUGCAAAUUUCUUCAGCUGGCUUCUGAAAUGUAUAAAGCAACUUAUGUCAGAGCCAAGUGAUCAACUUUUAACAUACAAUAGGUUUGUCUAACUUUUGUCCAUCAGGUUCAUUCCUUAUGGUGAAUCCCUAUUUACUCUUAUGAAUUUCGACAGUGAACUUGUUGUCGUGUUCUUGAAGUUUCUGUAUGAUCAAGAUCCUGUUAUGCAGCUUCUGGAUCUAUCCGAGGCUGAUGAAGAAAUGGACAUUGAUUUGUAAGUGAUUUCCUCCAACUUGUCCAGUUCCUAAUUCUAAGUCAUUUACAAUAUGGCACACAGAACCCCUGAAUCUUUAGUUAAUAUGUGUUCAUACCUGAUGGAGUCACCAAGUGGACUGUUUGGCAUUGCCAUAUACAGAGCUUCCAGUAGAAAUGGCUUGUAUACUCCCUGAAAGUUAAUUAUUUUCCCUCAUUUCAGUCGACAUUAACUUUACUUGGGCUGAGAUGUGACAUGUCAUUAUUUUUGAUAGAAUGGCUACCCAUUGAAUUAAUAAAUUUCUUCUCUUGUGCAUCAUCUGAAGUUUGGCUCCUACUUGGUGUUCUUAAUGAAUUUCAUUCAUCUAAUAAGAAAAUGUUAUUGCCUGGCCCUAGUUAUGGAAUCAUAUGUAUCAUUCAGACAUGAUGACUGGAUUCAUAAUUUGACAUAACCUUCUAAUUCCAAGUGUGGGCCAUCUCUUCAUUCGUUGUAUCUGAAAUUUGGUGAGGCAAUGGCUUGGAUACUGUGAAGUGUCGACAGCUUAGUAUUGCCUUCAUGUACUCUAGCAGCAAAUUUUGGUGGCCCUUCACUAGGUUGUGCUAUCCAUUUGUGUGCCAGAGGAUUAAAAUAUCAUGGCGUAAUGGACCUUGGUCACGCUUUAAAUGUCAGAGCGGUAUCCUGUCAAGCCUAGUAUUCUUUUCAUGCACUCUAGUGGCUCACUCAUGCCUUUUUGCAAUGCGACCAAAUUAGUUGCUAAAUUCAGAGUAUCGAAAUUGUGAAUGACUCCUGGUUUGAGGGUUAGUUCUUCAUUUUAAGUCAUCUUGCUACCGUCCUCCUAAAUACUUCUAAGAGCACAAGAGAUGAGGUUGACUCAAGUUAGGGUGCUUUGCUGGGCUUUGACUGUGGUCAUUCUUGGUCCAGCAUAUGUUGCUAAUGACAGGGUAACGAGGAUUGAAAUUGACGGGUUGAUUGUCAUUUCUCAUUGGACUGGAAAGUCUUUUGAAAAUCAAAUGUAGUUUCAUGCGCUUGUCUGCCUUGAUGUUUGAUGUCAGGUCAAUAAGAUGUUUUACACAUUAUUGUUUCAGAGAAACUAUGAAGAGAGUCAAAGAAUUAGUGCAAUUUGGAGGAUUUGGGGACAGCAAAUAUUUGUGAAGGACACUUGCAAAGGAGUUUCAACAGAUGGAACACAGGUAUCAGCAAAAGAAUUGAAUGAAAUUUAAUAGAAUCUUGUUCAUGCAUGGAAGUUCUUACUUGAAUGUGUCUUGUUGCUCUUUCAUUGUCGAUUCUUUGUAUUUAUGCUAUAUCUAGAUUUUCCAUUCACUAAUGUUUUUCUGCAUGCUACCUCAGUGGGGAAUAUAUGAACGCUGGGAUAAAUCGUUGCUGUCAUCUGUCAUUUGAAGUGAUCGAUUUUUUCCCUCCUCCAAGUCUGGUCCUCAUUGCUGACGAGUGUACCGAAUAUGAAAUUCUCGAUCUCUUUGUAUGCAUAACAGAGGUUUGAGUAUGAUGGUCCGGCUCCAAAAUGGUUUACGUAAACAUUGCAAUCCUUCACUUAAAACCUUGUGCUUUGGUUUCACCCAACUCAUCGUUUAAUUGAGCUGAAAUAUUCAUUUCUCAUUUGGCUAAUUUAGGUAUCUUGAUAAUGUCAUUUGUCAGUAGAUCUUUCUAUCCAAAUUCCUGUUACAAUAAAAUUGUAGCUAUAUUUUAUAUUUCCUUGUCUGAGUGGCCAGAACCUUGAGACUAUAAUGAGAGAAGGAAAAAAAGGAAACCCUCGGGGGUGGGGGUUGUCUUCUGAAGGUUGUACUCAACAAUGGUUUUUUACUUACCCUCUACCUAAUAAUCUAGUGUUUCGUAUUCAAUCUCAGGUUGAUUACUUGACAAUGUACAUGGAAACUUAAGCUGGGUGAUCUUAUUGGAUUGGGCUUUCUGAUUAGUUUAUGAUUAUUGUGUGAUAAUGCUGUAUCUCAUGUUUACUGAUUAGGAAUAAAUUUAAAUUUUUACAGUUUCAAGGAAGCUGCCCAGAUGCCUUUUUCUACCAUUUCAAAAAAGAUAUGUUGUAAGAAUUUAUUGCCUCUAUUCCGUCUUACAUCAGUUUCAGCAUCCACCCGAUACAUUCCAAUUUCACUGUCCUCCUAUGAGGUAUUUAGCCUUAAUCUGAAUCUACAAUUUUAUCCGGAGAUCUGCAUGGGCAGAGUACAACUUCUUUUUCAUGCUAAUCGUUUCUUCAUAUGGCUUUGCAGGAUGCCUCUGAAUUUGCUUCAUCUAAUCUGACUCAUGAAGUUGGGUUUACAGACUAUAUUUCCUUCCAAUUACCUGACGAGUCUUUUUAGAUGUUACAAACUGUAUAGCUGUAGUGAGGGGAUCUAUGAAUGAUUCAAGCAAUGUGAAGCNNNNNNNNNNNNNNNNNNNNNNNNNNNNNNNNNNNNNNNNNNNNNNNNNNNNNNNNNNNNNNNNNNNNNNNNNNNNNNNNNNNNNNNNNNNNNNNNNNNNUUGGCUCUAUAUAAGGUAAAAGCCUGGCAUAUAUUGCUUUAAGAAUUUGUGGAUGUGGCUAAUAUAUUUUAUUUUGAAACAGGACCAUCAAAUUGUUAUGUUGCUAAAUAAGAUGAAUGAUACUGGUGAAAAUUUGGGAGAUGCCUGGAUGAUGAUCUUGCAGGCCAGUGACCUUCCAUUUGUGCACAUUUCAGGAACCACUCGGGCAAAUAACUGGGAGUUGUACCGAUUAAAGGUAACUCUUGGAUCCUAAGCUUGCAUAUUGAUUUCGUACUCGUGAUACGUAUAGGACGCUGUUUGUUCUGAUACGUGUCAGUUCACUAUUUAAAACAUUGAUGGCAAAAAGAAAAUUGCUUUUCAGUUGACUCCUGUUCUUUUCAGUGUUUUAAGAACCGGCUCUGGUUGGAUCAGGAACCAGACCUGUCCAGUCUGGUUUCACAGCAGAAACAGUAGUGGUCAAGAACUGGUGGUAUUGACCCUAUUGUUAUCAGGCGUAACUGUCAACUGUUGACCCACAAUCCUGUCAACUAGUUUGGACCAGUUCUGGGCAUUCAAAAUGUUUAAAGGAAGAGUGUUGGAGUUGGGUUGGGGUUUGGAAUUCGAACCUCUUGUAACUACCAAGCGUACCAACCAUUCACUCCAGUGUCUUCUUGCUUCAAUUUGGUGGUGCAUUAGUAUCCAUUGACCUUAUUGGUUUAAUCUAUUAGAAAAUUAAAUGAUGUUCUUGAGAACUUGAAUGCUGUCAUUUGUGCUCAAUGAGGCUCUGCCGACUCAGCCAGGCAUCUAUUAAUCUGAACACGUGUAAUCUAAUAGAUGUGGAGUAUUCUAUCAGAUGACAUCACAUGCAAUAUGUUAAACCCAUUAAACUGGUAGAACACAGUUCUACCAGUUUGACCGGUUGAACCACUUGUCCAGUUUCAAAAACACUAGGAAUUUUAUUCUUCCUAUCUUUUAUUUGUAUGCUUUCCUCAUCAGCAUGAGAAGCAGCAGCUUAGUUUUUCCUCCUAUGUGCAUGGACAUGCUAUUUCACGCUUGGGAACUCUGAAGGGUGUUUUACUUUCUACCUUACUAUAACUGCAAAAGUUCCAACUUAUCUUGGCAGUUAAAGCCUUCUACAUGUAUGUUGGUUAAAAAGUAGGCAUGUGGUGUCCCUAAUUGAUUUUUUAUUUUUUUGGUCAGAAUGUCCCUAAUAGGUAAGAACUGCCAUUUUCGCUUCUAUUUUGUGAGAACAUUUUUUGCUUGGUUAUCUUAUUCUCACUCCUGAAACAUUAACACAGUGAAACUAUGCAUGUAGGACUCUAUAUUACACCUAGAUGUGGAGAAUGAGAAGAUUCGCAGCAUUCCCCAUACUGUUGUUCCUCCCUUCUCAGUUAGUGGUAAGAAUUUUUGACACCACCAUACAACUGAACUAAGGAUUAAACCAUUGUCAUGCCAUCAAUUUUAUAGUCCUGAAUUUUUUUCCUUGAGCUUCUUACCAUGUCCAUCUGCAUUUUUGGAUGUUUGGAAACUUGUUGUUGCCCAUACUAUUUCCCUUGUGUAUCAAUGCUUGAUAAACUUGCGAGUGUUUGCAACAAUUCCAUCUUGUUGACUAGGUAGUGGACUGAAUAAAUCCUGUCCAUGCUCCUUACUACAUUUUCACUUAACAGCCUACUCAUAAGUUUAAAUAUGACUGGUUAUGACUGUCUUAGGUACAAUAUGUCUCUUUAAUGGACCACUUCAUGUUUGUUCCCACAGUUUGAAGAAGUGCAAACUUAUGCUCCAAAGAAGAAUAUUUUUUCGGUUGAAGAAGUAAUAUACUAAUGUAUCAGGUUUUCCCCUAAAUUUAAAUCUAUUGAGAGGUCAAAGUGCAAAAAAGGUGAAUCUUUAGAGGCCACACAAGUACAGAGAAUAUUCUUCUUAUGGUAGGUUCACUGCGGUCUAGUUACUGACUGAGAACCUGUACAUGUUCAUGAUGAUAGAUACUAUCAUGAUAUCUAGUGUAGCAAGAUACUGUAGAGCAUUCAUAGUUUACAUGCAUACCAUAGCCUCCCUGGGCAGCAAGGUUUGCUUCCCCGCCUGUGUUUUAGCAUAAUGCAUGUGUUGUAGUUUUGCUUUUACCCAACAAAGGUAUCUAAACAUCACGUUAGUCAUGGCCAUAUAUUCAAGAAACGUUGGACUGAAAUCAAGUUAAUGUUUUUAUGGCGACAGCAAGUAGAGGUGUGGCUUGUGUUUUAGCUGCAAGAAAACGGGCCCUGGUCUACAUACUGGACGAGGCUGAAGAUGAAAUCUCUGAUUCAGAAUGACUGUCUGUUCAAGAUUUUGUGGUGGUUAUGCUCGUGUUGCUCCUGUGGGUGGACCUCUGCUCUCCGAAGCUGCAGACAUCGGUGUGAGAAGCAAUGGAUUUUGGCUUUUGUG